UAUGGUUGUGUGCCAGCCGCCGCGGUAAUACGUAGGGGGCUAGCGUUAUCCGGAAUUACUGGGCGUAAAGGGUGCGUAGGUGGUUUCUUAAGUCAGAGGUGAAAGGCUACGGCUCAACCGUAGUAAGCCUUUGAAACUGGGAAACUUGAGUGCAGGAGAGGAGAGUGGAAUUCCUAGUGUAGCGGUGAAAUGCGUAGAUAUUAGGAGGAACACCAGUUGCGAAGGCGGCUCUCUGGACUGUAACUGACACUGAGGCACGAAAGCGUGGGGAGCAAACAGG
This 280-nucleotide ribosomal RNA is filed under the name Romboutsia timonensis. Its description in RNAcentral is "partial 16S ribosomal RNA". It matches the Rfam family "Bacterial small subunit ribosomal RNA", at positions 496 to 776 of the family's 1533-position model. The record is from RNAcentral. Lineage: Bacteria; Bacillati; Bacillota; Clostridia; Peptostreptococcales; Peptostreptococcaceae.